GGCUCACCUCGGUAGAGCGUGAGACUCUUAAUCUCAGGGUCGUGGGUUCGUGCCCCAC
RNAcentral lists this transfer RNA (58 nucleotides) under Myotis lucifugus (little brown bat). It matches the Rfam family "tRNA", at positions 9 to 63 of the family's 71-position model. Rfam says of the family: Transfer RNA (tRNA) molecules are approximately 80 nucleotides in length. Their secondary structure includes four short double-helical elements and three loops (D, anti-codon, and T loops). Lineage: Eukaryota; Metazoa; Chordata; Mammalia; Chiroptera; Vespertilionidae. The record is from Rfam by way of RNAcentral.